RNAcentral lists this ribosomal RNA (376 nucleotides) under uncultured bacterium. RNAcentral's name for it is "bacterial SSU rRNA". It matches the Rfam family "Bacterial small subunit ribosomal RNA", at positions 29 to 433 of the family's 1533-position model. The record is from RNAcentral.
AAUGAACGCUGGCGGCAUGCCUAACACAUGCAAGUCGAACGAAGCCUUCGGGCUUAGUGGCGCACGGGUGCGUAACGCGUGGGAAUCUGCCCUUGGGUUCGGAAUAACAGUGGGAAACUACUGCUAAUACCGAAUGAUGUCGUAAGACCAAAGAUUUAUCGCCCAGGGAUGAGCCCGCGUAGGAUUAGCUAGUUGGUGUGGUAAAGGCGCACCAAGGCGACGAUCCUUAGCUGGCUGAGAGGAUGAUCAGCCACACUGGGACUGAGACACGGCCCAGACUCCUACGGGAGGCAGCAGUGGGGAAUAUUGGACAAUGGGCGAAAGCCUGAUCCAGCAAUGCCGCGUGAGUGAUGAAGGCCUUAGGGUUGUAAAGCUC